Molecule: ribosomal RNA, 465 nt
Filed under: uncultured bacterium
Lineage: Bacteria
Description: partial 16S ribosomal RNA
Rfam family: Bacterial small subunit ribosomal RNA
Source: RNAcentral
GACGAACGCUGGCGGCGUGCUUAACACAUGCAAGUCGUACGGUAAGGCCCUUUCGGGGGUACACGAGUGGCGAACGGGUGAGUAACACGUGAGUAACCUGCCCACAACAUUGGGAUAACGCUAGGAAACUGGGGCUAAUACUGGAUAUGUGCUCCUGCUGCAUGGGGGGGGUUGGAAAGCUCCGGCGGCUGUGGAUGGACUCGCGGCCUAUCAGCUUGUUGGUGGGGUAGUGGCCUAACAAGGCGGCGACGGGUAGCCGGCCUGAGAGGGUGACCGGCCACAUUGGGACUGAGAUACGGCCCAGACUCCUACGGGAGGCAGCAGUGGGGAAUAUUGCACAAUGGGCGCAAGCCUGAUGCAGCAACGCCGCGUGCGGGAUGACGGCCUUCGGGUUGUAAACCGCUUUCAGCAGGGACGAAGCUUUUUGUGACGGUACCUGCAGAAGAAGCACCGGCUAACUACGUG